RNAcentral lists this transfer RNA (66 nucleotides) under Melibe leonina. RNAcentral's name for it is "tRNA-Tyr". The record is from RNAcentral. Lineage: Eukaryota; Metazoa; Mollusca; Gastropoda; Nudibranchia; Dendronotidae.
UAUAAAUGGGACACAACGCCGUAAAAGGAUUUACAAUCCAUCGCUUAAAAUCUCAGCCACCAAAAG